UCCCUGGUGGUCCAGUGGCUAAGGCUCCAGACUCCCAAUGCAGGGGGCCUGGGUUCGAUCCCUAGUCAGGGAA
Molecule: transfer RNA, 73 nt
Filed under: Bos taurus (domestic cattle)
Lineage: Eukaryota; Metazoa; Chordata; Mammalia; Artiodactyla; Bovidae
Also listed under: 4 other names
Rfam family: tRNA
About the family: Transfer RNA (tRNA) molecules are approximately 80 nucleotides in length. Their secondary structure includes four short double-helical elements and three loops (D, anti-codon, and T loops).
Source: Rfam by way of RNAcentral